This 250-nucleotide ribosomal RNA is filed under the name uncultured bacterium. RNAcentral's name for it is "partial 16S ribosomal RNA". It matches the Rfam family "Bacterial small subunit ribosomal RNA", at positions 524 to 773 of the family's 1533-position model. The record is from RNAcentral.
UACGGGGGGUGCGAGCGUUGUCCGGAAUCACUGGGCGUAAAGGGCGCGUAGGUGGUCUUGUAAGUCUGUGGUGAAAGCCCGGGGCUCAACCCCGGGUCUGCCGCGGAUACUGCGAGACUUGAGUACUGUAGAGGCUGGUAGAAUGCCGGGUGUAGCGGUGGAAUGCGUAGAGAUCCGGCAGAAGACCGGUGGCGAAGGCGGCCAGCUGGGCAGUAACUGACACUGAGGCGCGACAGCGUGGGGAGCAAAC